GGGCUAUAUCUCAUCAGUUGAGCUUUUGCUGUGCAUGCAGAAGGUCCCAGGUUCAAUCCCUGGCAUCUCCA
Non-coding RNA from Podarcis lilfordi (Lilford's wall lizard), 71 nucleotides. The record is from the annotation of a GenBank genome assembly. Lineage: Eukaryota; Metazoa; Chordata; Lepidosauria; Squamata; Lacertidae.